Molecule: non-coding RNA, 4160 nt
Organism: Doryrhamphus excisus (bluestripe pipefish)
Lineage: Eukaryota; Metazoa; Chordata; Actinopteri; Syngnathiformes; Syngnathidae
Source: RefSeq, a predicted model, not a curated record
AGUGACACCGCUAAGGGCCAGUGUGCUAUCUGUGAGGGUUUUUUGGACGUUUGGAUGAACAGAAGAAGUGAGGGUUGAACGAGACCCGAGUAGAAACUACUGUGUGUGUCCAUGACUCAGCCUUUAAUUCCAAAAGAAAUUGUUGCUGCUACCGCUGACGCCUUUCCGAAGAUAUUGAGGUUGUAGCCCAGAACUGGUGCUCCUCCAUCAUGAACCGGCGGGGUCCAGCUCACUGUCAUGGCGUCCUUGGUGACAUCAGACACUUGAAGCUGGGACGCUGUGCCUGGAGGCUCUAAGUGGAUUUCAGCAAGCCACACUCCAUCCACCUUCUCAUCAUCCAAGACAACACAGAGCUCCGCAGGGUUGCCCGUAGGACACUGAGUGUCUGACAUCCCACUCUUCACUGAGGCAAAACGUUCUGACAGCAUGACAGAAAACAUCAUGACAGCAAAGAAGAACAGAGCAAUGGAGCUUCAGUUUGUGCAGGGGAGUCAAACGGCACAUAGCUAUGUGGAGAUGCCGUGGGCGGCUUCCCUCGUGACCGAAGGCCAUCGUCGGUGUGGUGAUGACUGACUUUUUCAACAAGACCCUUGUCCGCCAUGAUGGGAGGAGCUACCCGGCCAGCCAGCAGGAGGGCGUCGUCGUAUUGCUCCCCAUGGACGCACGUCACACGCCGAACAUUUUCUGCUGCCUCCUCUGCCAGCCAGGCCAGAAGAACUGCAAACUGCUGAAGAAGUUGCUUGCCUCAACAUCUCUUUUCGUUUUGUUCAGGUUUUUUCUUACUCUUCUUUCAGUUGUUUUAUUAUUUGUUAAAAAAAAAGUCCAACUUACUUGUGACAGCAAAGCGGUUUCUAACAGACAGUUGAGUAGUUUCCACAAGUUUCUUGCCCAGCUGCUUCUUGACCAAAUAUUCACCCAAGUGAUGUCCUUAGUCCGCAUCCGCGCUGUUCCCCGUCUCAUCAGACUCCUGUCAGCUUGGUAUUCACUUAGGUCUUCUUCUUCUUCUUCUUCCCCAUGUACGAACCACUCCCGGGAAACAUGGUGUAAUCAUCUUUGCACAAAUAAGGCACUGAUCUGUGCAACAUCGGUCGGGUUCACGGUGUCCCGGUUUGGAUGAGCAAAAUCAUCGCUCGUAUCUCCUACUGGCCUCCACGGAGCAUCCUCUCCGGGAUGUGCAUUAGAACAUUAACAUUCUUUAAAGAAGAUGUGUUGACGGAGGCUUUGUAGCAGUCUCUGAAGCUGGUAUCCUCAUGGGUGCUAGCUAGAUAGAACAUUUACAUGUUGUGCGCUUAUUCUGAGAACAAACAUGUACGGAUUUUUCACCUCAGCUACACACAGUCAAGUCUACAAUUGUCGGAUUUGCGGUGAAUCUUCUACAAUAUGAUCGAUAGAUAGGUAGGUAGUAUAUAGAUAGAUAGCACAAAGGUGUCUACCAGACCAAAACCUCUCCUCUGCAUGGAAGAACAAGCUCGAGACAGACAGCCCAACUGACAGUCCUCUUAUCCUCUGCGCUACACCUGGCUGUGGCAUACUAAUGUCAGAGCAAUGACCUAGAUUUUUAUUCUUGCAGCACAGCAAAAUCAAAGUGUUGAGGUUUUGCCACUUGUGGCGUCAUCGCCUAUGAGAUAUCCGUCUUUUAGCGACGUUAGAACAAAGGAGUGUCAACAAAGAACAUAUUCGUAUAAUAUCCAGCGCUUGACCAAGAGAAGAAGAGCAGAAGAAAAGCCGACCUAUUUUUUUUUUUACUGCGCUGUAAUUUACAUACGUACAUGGAAUGCAACAUGACCAUCAACAAAAUCUUGAUCCAAAUCGCUGAUACCAGGGUAGAAUCAGUUUUAGAUGGAUGCUAGCAUGGUGAGAUUUUUCGGGUUUUCCCUUCAGGGGGUCGUCACAGCAAAUCAAUCGCCUCCAUCCAACCCAUCUGUCUCUCUCACACAUCCAAAAACCUCCUCUUUGGUCUUCCUAAGCGCACCAUCCUUCUACCAAUAUAUUCACUAUCUCUGCUCUGGACAUGUCCCAACCAUCUCAGUCUGGCCUCUCUGACUUUAUCUCCAAGGACUCUUACAUGUAAUGUCCCUCUGAUGAACUCGUUCCUGAUCCUAUCCAUCCUGGUCACUCCCAGGAUCCUCAUUUUUGCUACCUCCAGUUCUGCUUUCUGUCGUUUCCUCACUGGCACUGUCUCGAGACCAAACAACAUCGCCGGUCUCACCACGGUUUUGUAUACCAUUGGAUACCAAAAAUACCAAAGGAUUUGAAUGAGAGUCAAUUCAAGAUGCUUCGAUCAAUCAGCCACUGAUCAGUAUCAGUAUCAGAAUUUGCUCAGAAAUUAUUAAAUUGUUCACUUUUUUUGUUUUGCCAACAAUCUUUGUCAGAUAUUUUAUUAUGAUUAUGAUCAUGAUCAAUAAAUCAUUCAAUGAGCUUGAAAAGUGUCCGAGUAACUUGGUAUUGGUGUUGGUGUUGGUAUUGGUAUUGGUAUUGGUAUUGGUAUUGGCAUUGGCAUUAGUAUUGGUAUUGGUAUUGGUAUCGGUACUGGUACUGGUACUGGUACUGGUACUGGUAUUGGUAUUGGUAUUGGUAUUGGCAAUGGUAUUUUUGUUGGUAUUGUUGUUGGUAUUGAUAUUGGCAAUGGUAUUGGUACCGGUAUUGUUGUUGGUAUUGGUAUUGGCAUUGGUAUUGUUGUUGGUAUUGAUGUUGGUAUUGGCAUUGGUAUUGGUAUUGUUGGUAUUGGCGUUGGUAUUGGUAUUGUUGUUGGUAUUGGUAUUGGUACUGGUAUUGGUAUUGGUAUUGGCAAUGGUAUUGGUAUUGGUAUUGGCAAUGGUAUUUUUGUUGGUAUUGUUGUUGGUAUUGAUAUUGGCAAUGGUAUUGGUACUGGUAUUGUUGUUGGUAUUGGUAUUGAUGUUGGUAUUGGUACUGGUAUUGGUAUUGUUGUUGGUAUUGGCGUUGGUAUUGGCAUUGGUAUUGGUAUUGGUAUUGGCAAUGGUAUUGGUAUUGUUGUUGGUAUUGGUAUUGGUAUUGGCAAUGGUAUUGGUAUUGAUGUUGGUAUUGGUAUUGGUAUUGGCAGUGGUAUUGGUAUUGAUGUUGGUAUUGGUGUUGGUAUUGGCAAUGGUAUUGGCAACGGUAUUGGCAAUGGUAUUGGCAAUGUUAUUGGUGUUGGUAUUGGCAUUGGUAUUGGUACUGGAGUUGGUAUUGGCAUCGGCAUUGGUACUGGCGUUGGUAUUGGCGUUACUAGCCCUGACUUGACUUGGUAUUGGAUUGAUACCAAAAUGAGUUGUAUCGCACCCUCCUUUCCUUUUAAGACCCAGUAAGAAGUAAGAGUGGAAUAAUGUUUAAUAUGGCAGCAGCUGCAGCCAUGUGAUAUUUAAACUACUCUUCUCAGGAGAAUUUUCACAUGUAUUUGAAAGGAACAGCUGCACACAUUCCGCAUUCAAUGAAUUCUGAGUGGGCUCCGAAUGGAGAGAUGAUCUCAAUCAUUUUUGUAGGCAACAAUUAAUAGAUUGUUUAAUCCCUUGGUAGAAUGGAAAAAAGGCAAGGGAUAUUAUGGUCGAUAUGCCAGACGUCCCUUCUUGUCAGUGUCUCCUUCAGUGUUCAGCCCUCUCUGUUUGCCACAACUGCUCUUCACCUCUCAUCAUCUCAUCUUUACCAAUUUCCCUCCUCCUCCCGGGGUCGACUUCUAAGCCUGAAGGCAUGUGGUUUCCCUGGAUGGAAAUUCAAACGGUACUCCACACUUGUUUCACCGCAGAUGAAAAAAGCAUCGAGGUGGCCUGCUGGGAUCCGGAAGGCUAAACCUUGAAUAACCUAAUGAUAUUUUGUAUUAAAAAAUGUUUUGGCUAAUUGGUGGCCACCUGCCAGAGAACACCACCUGCCCAUCCAGACCCCAGAGAGGGCCAGGCCAAGCCCGCUGUGAACUGGUGGGGCUGGCGGCACACCUGGGCCCCUUAAGAUGGGUCCUCUUAUGAUCAUCAAUUGUGAAUGUGUUUGAUUUUUAUAUUUUUUACUAACAAACUGAUGAAUAAUUGAAGUGAGAAUGGGAGACCCGAGUUCGAUUCCACUCUCGGCCAUGUCUGUGUGGAGUUUGAAUGUUCUCCCCGCGCAUGCGUGGGUUUACUCCGGUUUCCUCCCACAUUCCAAAAACAUGCUAGGUUAAUUGGCGACUCCAAAUU